RNAcentral lists this long non-coding RNA (550 nucleotides) under Brassica rapa (field mustard). Its description in RNAcentral is "long non-coding RNA (BRAP_LNC002252)". Lineage: Eukaryota; Viridiplantae; Streptophyta; Magnoliopsida; Brassicales; Brassicaceae. The record is from RNAcentral.
UAAAUCUGAUAUUGUGAUAAACACAACAUGGGAACUUUAGAGAACGUAAACAAUCGUAACGGUGACCAUUAAGCACCUUAUUAAUAAACGGAUCAAAUAUUUUUUUGCCGUUUAGUGUAAUGUAAGAGAUCGAGACAAUGAGUGUUCUUCUUUGCCUCUUCUUUUAUCUGUCUCUCUCUUUUAUCUUCUUAUGGGUUAUAUUCAAAGAAAAUGAACAAGAGGCAAAGAAGAAACCUUCUGCAAAAAUUCACUUUCUCUCUUUUUUGAUUAUGGUUUGGCCCUAAACACAAUGAAGAUGUAUAUAGGCAAAAAAAAAAAAAAAAACUUCAAGAGAUAAACAGCUUAGUUAGAUAAAUUUUCUCCUUAACUUUCUCACAAUCCAAACAAAAAUGGUUCAAACUUUUUCUACUAUCUAUUCCAUUAAAAUUCACCAACUAAUUUAACUAUUUUUAGAAAUAUAUACACCUUUUAUUGUUUAAACAAAACAAAAAUACACAAAACAUUUAGUUCACUUAAUUGCCAAACUCUUCAUAGUGCUUGUAUGUUACAC